GUAUCUUUACUUCCGCCAGCGCCCAUCGUGAAGAGUGAAGCUUCCUGUCGCGUGGUUCGGGCUGCUGUCUGUCCAGUGCCAUCCUCCGAAAUCUGUAGACAUCUUGUGUGCUCCCGGGCUGUCUGCUCCUCUGCCCAGUGUAGAGCGCCCAGGCCGGUUGGCUGUGCAGCCCUCCUGGAAACCGAUGGAAGCUCCGUGGGUCGGCAGAUUGCGGCUUCUGCAGCAGCUGGGGCCUCCCUACUCUCUUCAGCUCACCGGUGGGCGCCCACUGUCCAGGGAGAGGAUGCUUGGUUGUUAAGCCACAGACAACAGAAUGACGAGACUCUGGGUACAGUUCAGGUCCAUGUUGCGUAUUGGGAAUCCCUUACAGAUUUCAAAGGAAGUGGAGAGGGGAGAGUCCUUGCCACGUGGUUUGCUGGCUGGCAGCUUCUGUGUCUGGUAUUCUGGGUGCUGUUCAGGUGGUUCACCUGGGCUUAUCGCUUGCAGAAAUAACAGCUUGGGUGCACAACGGCCGUAAGAGCUGUCUCCAUCCUGCCAGACUGACGGACCAUGGUGCUCCCGAGUGAGGAUCGUCCCCUGGCAUCUGGAGCUCCCACAUGAAUAUGCGCAGUUUCCCAGACGGCAUUUGAGUGUGUGGAGCCAGGUGCACCCCAGUGCCACUAGAGAACAGUGCUCCCCAGAUACCAUGGCCCUGCUGUGCUUCUGAGCAGCCCACACGGCUGAGCAUCAGGCUUGUCUCCAGAGAGCUCCGGUGUCUCCUCCAGGAUUGUCAGCUGAUCUCUGCCAUGUCUGUCAGCAGUCCUCAAGUUUCAAGAAGUGGCCGGAACAGCGUCCUUGCCAGGUGUUAAUCCCAGAUGCUUCACAGGAGAGCCCCAGUUGUCCAGCAAAGACCUCUGUCAUGAGGAAAAGCAGAAGCUGCUUCCCCACCCAGGCCAGCAGGGACAUGCCUCCCUCAGCCUCUGCCACCUCACUUCUGUACAUCUUUGUGGGGUGAAGUGGAUGCUUACAGAGCCACUCGGCACAGGAGCCCCUGGGACGUCAUGUUCCCCUCAGUUCAUUCGGGUGUUCGUGUACACCAGAGGGCCAGGGAGGGAGUGGACAGCAAGACCAUCACUCCAAGUGAAACUGGAGACUGCCCACUCAGCAUCAUGGAACAGCUUUUUAUUGUGUUUAGUAAUGGCAUGGCAGACUCCUGCACCUUGGAGGGCUGUCCUGUCCCCAUCUGCUAGUGCCUGCAGUGACUAGUGACAAGAGCGUUUCUGUUGAACUUGUUGCCAGCUUUUCUGCUACCUCCUCAAUUGUGCAAUAAACUUUACAGAUUAA
Long non-coding RNA from Mesocricetus auratus (golden hamster), 1323 nucleotides. RefSeq lists it as uncharacterized. The transcript is spliced from 6 exons. The record is from RefSeq and is a predicted model, not a curated record. NCBI's taxonomy places the organism in Eukaryota, Metazoa, Chordata, Mammalia, Rodentia, Cricetidae.